RNAcentral lists this long non-coding RNA (315 nucleotides) under Ananas comosus (pineapple). RNAcentral's name for it is "long non-coding RNA (ACOM_LNC028439)". Lineage: Eukaryota; Viridiplantae; Streptophyta; Magnoliopsida; Poales; Bromeliaceae. The record is from RNAcentral.
UAUAUAUAUAUAUAUAUAUAUGUAUAUAUACAUAUAUAUAUAUAUAUACAUAUAUAUAUAGUGUAGAGCUACUAUGCUAUCAGAAGCAUAAAGGGAUUAGUGCUUUCGAUUUUUUAGCCCUUGGAUCAAGGAUGGUACGGUUACGAUGAUAAUGGUCCUCCUUAGAGUUGAGUGGUCCCCCUGGGGUUGAGUGGUUCCCACUGGAUAAUAAUAUUAAUCCAAUGGUUAAAAAUGAUCAAAGGACCACAAACAUUUGAUUUUUAUCUGAAGUUUUAAAUAGGCAUGAAUGGUGGAUUCAUAUGAUCUAAAAAUAGU